UACGGAGGGUGCAAACGUUGCUCGGAAUCAUUGGGCGUAAAGCGCACGUAGGCGGCCCAGCAAGUCGGGCGUGAAAGCCCUCGGCUUAACCGAGGAAGUGCAUUCGAAACUACUGAGCUUGAAUACUGGAGAGGAUCGCGGAAUUCCCGGUGUAGAGGUGAAAUUCGUAGAUAUCGGGAGGAACACCAGUGGCGAAGGCGGCGAUCUGGACAGAUAUUGACGCUGAGGUGCGAAAGCGUGGGGAGCAAACAGG
This 253-nucleotide ribosomal RNA is filed under the name uncultured bacterium. Its description in RNAcentral is "partial 16S ribosomal RNA". It matches the Rfam family "Bacterial small subunit ribosomal RNA", at positions 524 to 776 of the family's 1533-position model. The record is from RNAcentral.